RNAcentral lists this ribosomal RNA (497 nucleotides) under uncultured bacterium. RNAcentral's name for it is "partial 16S ribosomal RNA". It matches the Rfam family "Bacterial small subunit ribosomal RNA", at positions 28 to 507 of the family's 1533-position model. The record is from RNAcentral.
GAUGAACGCUGGCGGCGUGCCUAAUACAUGCAAGUCGAGCGAACGGACGAGAAGCUUGCUUCUCUGAUGUUAGCGGCGGACGGGUGAGUAACACGUGGAUAACCUACCUAUAAGACUGGGAUAACUUCGGGAAACCGGAGCUAAUACCGGAUGAUAUUUUGAACCGCAUGGUUCAAAAGUGAAAGACGGUCUUGCUGUCACUUAUAGAUGGAUCCGCGCUGCAUUAGCUAGUUGGUAAGGUAACGGCUUACCAAGGCAACGAUGCAUAGCCGACCUGAGAGGGUGAUCGGCCACACUGGAACUGAGACACGGUCCAGACUCCUACGGGAGGCAGCAGUAGGGAAUCUUCCGCAAUGGGCGAAAGCCUGACGGAGCAACGCCGCGUGAGUGAUGAAGGUCUUCGGAUCGUAAAACUCUGUUAUUAGGGAAGAACAUAUGUGUAAGUAACUGUGCACAUCUUGACGGUACCUAAUCAGAAAGCCACGGCUAACUACGCG